CCAGCGGCGGCGCGCACUAUUCCACCUGCCCAGCCCAGCCAGGAGCAGCCCACCCUAAGCCACUGUUUUCUCGACAUGGAAGGCCUAAUCCAUCCCCUUGCCUUGCAAGGACUCAGAUCUCCCUCAUUCUGAGGGGAUUCGCUCCAGACCAGCAGCCCCAAGAUUUUUUUCUUCUCCAGCCUUCGUGGAGUUGUUUCUCUUAGGACUCCGUGGCAAGGAAAGUGGCGAUUACAAUCGCAAGAUUUCUUCAGGAUAUCACUUAUAACAACAUUGUAUAGAGGGCAGCUGAAGAUAGAGCCCUGUGGCAAGUCAAUAGAGACCUCCGUCAAAGUUGGAAUGGAUCCAUUACCAAGACUUUUGGGAAGUGAUUGUUCAACCAGCUUCAAAUCACUCUAAUUUGCCCUAUAUCUACCCUACAUCUCUUCAUUAAUCAACGAGGACACACUAAAAGAUUUUUGUCUAAGAUACUAAGACGUACACGCACCGUCUUGACCUUCCAGCCCAACCAUGCUAUAAAAGAAAGAAAUGAACUUACACCUCACAGUUCUUAUUUGCUUUGCCGCUUCUCUUACCAACUCUGGACUUUUCCUCCUGGCCUGAGGCUCGCCUAACAUCAGACACAGGCCAUACCUAGAAGCUUGCUUCCUUCUUUUUUACUGUAACUGUACACUGUAGUUUUGUCUUCCUAAAUGCGUUAUACAUGUUACUGAAAAGCUGUGAUCAUUUGAAUCAUAUUCUAAGUAUACAAUGAACAGUUCAUUCCAUCAAUAAAGGUAUUGAUCAUUCCCU
Long non-coding RNA from Lagenorhynchus albirostris (white-beaked dolphin), 789 nucleotides. RefSeq lists it as uncharacterized. The record is from RefSeq and is a predicted model, not a curated record. The transcript is spliced from 2 exons. Lineage: Eukaryota; Metazoa; Chordata; Mammalia; Artiodactyla; Delphinidae.